UACGAAGGGGGCUAGCGUUGUUCGGAAUCACUGGGCGUAAAGCGCACGUAGGCGGAUUGUUAAGUCGGGGGUGAAAUCCUGAGGCUCAACCUCAGAACUGCCUCCGAUACUGGCAAUCUCGAGUUCGGAAGAGGUUGGUGGAACAGCUAGUGUAGAGGUGAAAUUCGUAGAUAUUAGCUAGAACACCAGUGGCGAAGGCGGCCAACUGGUCCGAUACUGACGCUGAGGUGCGAAAGCGUGGGGAGCAAACAGG
RNAcentral lists this ribosomal RNA (253 nucleotides) under uncultured bacterium. Its description in RNAcentral is "partial 16S ribosomal RNA". It matches the Rfam family "Bacterial small subunit ribosomal RNA", at positions 524 to 776 of the family's 1533-position model. The record is from RNAcentral.